AUUCUGGUCGAUCCUGCCAGUAGUUAUAUGCUUCUCUCAAAGAUUGAGUCAUGCAUUGUUACUUGGUUAACUGUAGUAAUUCUAGAGAUAAUACAUGCAAUUAAAACUCGGACCUUUUGGAACGUGUGCUUUUAUUAGGUUAUAACCAAGCUAUUGCAAGAUCGUUAUGUUGGUUGAAAUCUAUGGUCUUGUACUAACGACAAAUCUUUAAAAUGUGCGCCCUAUCAACUUUUGAUGGUAGCAUCUAGGACUACCAUGGUUGCAACGGGUAACGGGGAAUCAGGGUUCGAUUCCGUAGAGGGAGCCUGGGAAACGGCUACCUCGCUCGAAGUGGUAGUACCGAAAAAUAACAAUACAGGAGUCAUAUCCGAGGCCCUGUAAUUGAAAUAAGUACACCUAAAAUCUUUGAACAAGGACGUAUUGGUGGGCAAGUCUUGUGACAUCAGCCGCAGUAGUUCCAGCUCCAAUAGCGUACAUUAAAGUUUUUGUACAAUAUACCCUUGCACCCAUUUUUGCUGGGUUCAGGG
Molecule: non-coding RNA, 527 nt
Filed under: Drosophila virilis
Lineage: Eukaryota; Metazoa; Arthropoda; Insecta; Diptera; Drosophilidae
Description: Eukaryotic small subunit ribosomal RNA
Rfam family: Eukaryotic small subunit ribosomal RNA
Source: Rfam by way of RNAcentral